CCCUGUUUUAAUUAAUGUAGCCACGCCCUGUAUUAAAUGGAUGAAAAUCAGGUUAAAGAAAUAAGAACAUGUAAAUUGAUAGAAUCAGAACUCUCUUCUAGAAAGAAGCCAAAAGGUGUGUAUAAAAAAUAUGGUAGCAGUCUAGUACUAUAUGAAUCGGAUCCAGCGUCAGUAUUAAAAGAAAAUCACAAUAAACUUGCUAAACUGAUGGAAAAAGACAAAAACUGACACAUACACACAUAAAAUAGUAUACAUUUUAAUCUUCCAGUGGCACGUUUUUGAAUAAA
Long non-coding RNA from Amphimedon queenslandica, 287 nucleotides. RefSeq lists it as uncharacterized. NCBI's taxonomy places the organism in Eukaryota, Metazoa, Porifera, Demospongiae, Haplosclerida, Niphatidae. The record is from RefSeq and is a predicted model, not a curated record. The transcript has 4 exons.